This 253-nucleotide ribosomal RNA is filed under the name uncultured prokaryote. RNAcentral describes it as "partial 16S ribosomal RNA". It matches the Rfam family "Bacterial small subunit ribosomal RNA", at positions 525 to 777 of the family's 1533-position model. The record is from RNAcentral.
ACGUAGGGGGCAAGCGUUGUCCGGAUUUACUGGGCGUAAAGAGCUCGUAGGCGGUUUGUCGCGUCUGCCGUGAAAGUCCGGGGCUCAACUCCGGAUCUGCGGUGGGUACGGGCAGACUAGAGUGAUGUAGGGGAGACUGGAAUUCCUGGUGUAGCGGUGAAAUGCGCAGAUAUCAGGAGGAACACCGAUGGCGAAGGCAGGUCUCUGGGCAUUAACUGACGCUGAGACGCGAAAGCGUGGGGAGCAAACAGGA